This 428-nucleotide ribosomal RNA is filed under the name Bacteroidota bacterium. RNAcentral describes it as "Bacteroidetes bacterium partial 16S ribosomal RNA". It matches the Rfam family "Bacterial small subunit ribosomal RNA", at positions 355 to 776 of the family's 1533-position model. The record is from RNAcentral. Lineage: Bacteria; Pseudomonadati; Bacteroidota.
UAGGGAAUCUUCCGCAAUGGACGCAAGUCUGACGGAGCAACGCCGCGUGAGUGAAGAAGGAUUUCGGUUCGUAAAACUCUGUUGUUAGAGAAGAACAGCGCAUAGAGUAACUGUUAUGCGUGUGACGGUAUCUAACCAGAAAGCCACGGCUAACUACGUGCCAGCAGCCGCGGUAAUACGUAGGUGGCAAGCGUUGUCCGGAUUUAUUGGGCGUAAAGCGAGCGCAGGCGGUUAGAUAAGUCUGAAGUUAAAGGCAGUGGCUCAACCAUUGUAGGCUUUGGAAACUGUUUAACUUGAGUGCAGAAGGGGAGAGUGGAAUUCCAUGUGUAGCGGUGAAAUGCGUAGAUAUAUGGAGGAACACCGGUGGCGCAAGCGGCUCUCUGGUCUGUAACUGACGCUGAGGCUCGAAAGCGUGGGGAGCGAACAGG